AACGAACGCUGGCGGCGUGCUUAACACAUGCAAGUCGAACGAGAAAGCGGGCUUCGGUCCGCUAGUAAAGUGGCAGACGGGUGAGUAACACGUGGGUAACCUGCCCGGAGGUGGGGGACAACCCUCCGAAAGGAGGGCUAAUACCGCAUGAUAUCCCUGAGGCUUCGGCCUUGAGGAUCAAAGCUAGCCUCUACAUGUAAGCUAGCUCCACCGGAGGGGCCCGCGGCCCAUUAGCUAGUUGGGAGGUAACGGCUCACCAAGGCGACGAUGGGUAGCCGGCCUGAGAGGGUGUUCGGCCACACUGGAACUGAGACACGGUCCAGACUCCUACGGGAGGCAGCAGUGAGGAAUCUUGCGCAAUGGGCGAAAGCCUGACGCAGCGACGCCGCGUGGAGGACGAAGGUCUUCGGAUCGUAAACUCCUGUCAAGUGGGACGAAGGCUGUUGGGAUGAAUAAGCCCAGCAGUUGACGGUACCGCUGAAGGAAGCCCC
Molecule: ribosomal RNA, 491 nt
Filed under: uncultured bacterium
Lineage: Bacteria
Description: bacterial SSU rRNA
Rfam family: Bacterial small subunit ribosomal RNA
Source: RNAcentral